Molecule: microRNA precursor, 102 nt
Filed under: Brugia malayi
Lineage: Eukaryota; Metazoa; Nematoda; Chromadorea; Rhabditida; Onchocercidae
Description: microRNA Bm16727 precursor
Source: RNAcentral
AAUGGUAGAGCUGGGUCUUGAAGUAACACUAUUUUCAAUGUCUGAGAAAGCAUCAGAUUGAUUUCUAAAGUGGUUGUAUAAGUUUGCACUCCCACCAGCAAU